Long non-coding RNA from Odontomachus brunneus, 260 nucleotides. RefSeq lists it as uncharacterized. NCBI's taxonomy places the organism in Eukaryota, Metazoa, Arthropoda, Insecta, Hymenoptera, Formicidae. The record is from RefSeq and is a predicted model, not a curated record. The transcript is spliced from 2 exons.
CCGAGUCGUCGUUGACGGAUGCUGCAAAAACGGCGCGCUUGGCCUCUAGAUCGCUGAAAAAAUUGGAAGAUGAAGCAAAUAUAAACUUGGAAGGCAAUUUAUAUGGUGCUGGCAUUGUUGACUAAUGGAUCAAAACUCUUCAAGAUAUUUUACAAGCCCUGGAGCAACUUUUUAAAAACACGUUUUUUUGACAACGGCCGUGUGCUGCCAUUUUGUUUUUUUUUUAUUAAAAAAUAAAAAUGUGUACCUUAAUACAUAUA